GUCCGACCCCGGAAUUUCUAAGUAGGUCAGCUGGUACUAAGGCGUAUUCUGCCGCAUCAUGAAGAAGCAAAAGGAAAGUUUGCCCCAAAUUGGAAAGGCCCAUACAUCGUAAGGAAGAUAUUGCCGAGAGGAGCACUGUAUUUAGGUGAUAUCAAAGGAAAUGACCCCGACACAGCAGUAAAUACAGAUGCAGUCAUGAGAUACUACGUCUAGAUCAUACUCCAGUGAUCCUGACACAUUUGAAAAUGGCGAAGGUUUUAUCCCCCACUACUCCCAAACACUACCCAAUCCUCUCUA
Molecule: non-coding RNA, 297 nt
Organism: Nicotiana tabacum (common tobacco)
Lineage: Eukaryota; Viridiplantae; Streptophyta; Magnoliopsida; Solanales; Solanaceae
Source: RefSeq, a predicted model, not a curated record